GUGGUUGUAGCUCAGUGGUAGAGCGCUUGCCUAGCAGGUGUGAGGCACUGGGUUUGGUCCUCAGCACUCACC
Non-coding RNA from Ictidomys tridecemlineatus (thirteen-lined ground squirrel), 72 nucleotides. Lineage: Eukaryota; Metazoa; Chordata; Mammalia; Rodentia; Sciuridae. The record is from Rfam.